Molecule: non-coding RNA, 25 nt
Filed under: Mus musculus (house mouse)
Lineage: Eukaryota; Metazoa; Chordata; Mammalia; Rodentia; Muridae
Source: RNAcentral
UGGACUUCUGAGUGGGGUUUCCUAA